Long non-coding RNA from Pteropus alecto (black flying fox), 2145 nucleotides. RefSeq lists it as uncharacterized. The record is from RefSeq and is a predicted model, not a curated record. NCBI's taxonomy places the organism in Eukaryota, Metazoa, Chordata, Mammalia, Chiroptera, Pteropodidae. The transcript is spliced from 2 exons.
UUAAGGCAGAUCUCUGUUCUUCAGACACUUGAGACAAGUAUGUUUCUUCAAAGCAAUUCUAAAGUUCAAAUAUAGCACAUUUCUAACCAUCUGCUUCUACAAAACUUCAAUGAAUGUUUCAAACAACAAGUUUUCUAUGUCCUAUAGCUAGAAGCAACGUCUGCAUAUCCUUCCCAUAAGAAACAGCCAAUGGACCGAAACAGAGAGGAGAAAAAAGCCAAGGCCACUUUUUAAACCCUGCAGCACAGAAAUGGCCACAUCACUUCUGCACACAUUCCACUGGUGAAAACUAUUCACAAGACUCCAUCCAGAUGCAAGAGGAACUGGGAAAUGUGGUCCCUGGCUCAGCCACUUCUCAGAGACAACUAUACGCUAUGGAAAGGGAACACGAACGUUGUUGGGGAUGUGGCCAUCUCUGCCAUCACUUCUCUCUGAGGAAAGGAUGUUGCAGAAGAAACAUGAAGGAUAACAAGAAUCCGACCUGUGAAGAGCUGUGGGAGAGUGCGUCUAGCCAGCCUCGAGACCUAAAGAGCUUUCUGUGCUCAGAGAUUGGAAAGAAGAAACUGAAGUGAAGUGGGUAUGGAAGAAAAAGAAUUUACUGACGGUGAAGUAGAAAGAGAACAGACCUGUGAGUGUUAUAGGCCAUACUGAGGAGUUUGGAUGUUUGCAUCAUUAAAAUAUCAAAAUGUUUUUAGCAGCAUACUAGUCUGAUCCAAGUUAUUUUUGAAAAAUAUGCAUCUAAAAGUGAUGAGAAGAUUGGCAAGAGACAAGAGAUGAGGUUGAAAGACGAAAACUAAGACUUAAAAAUGAGACUCUAUUAUUGUCUUAGCCAAAGACUAAUGUGGAUUGAGUGAAUGCAGAGACUGAAAAUGGAAAGGACAGAAUUUGGCCUCCCCAAGAAACAUAGUGGGUCAUUUGCUUGACCAAUGUGUACAUCUUGCUCAUCUGAUGGGAGGCAUGUGGCACGUGGGUAGCUGCCGGACCUUGCAUUUUGGCAAUAGUCGGACAUAUCCUGAAGUCCUGGGACUCAGGUGGCCAGAAAGGGAGGCCCCAAAAUGAUGCGAGAAGAGACAUAUAAAGAAUAGAAAAGAUAGCAGCAUCCUCAUAUUCACAUUUAGAAAUUCUCAAUGGCAGUUUAGAAGAUAAAUAUUAACAAACCAGAAUGAAGAAAUAGAUGGUUAGCACCUUUUAUUACCAUGGAUAUGAACACAGGCAAAAAAUAAUAACAAUCUAUGUUUCCAGAGCAGCCGUGUUUAUUUGGUGUUUUUCAGGCUUAGGCAGUAGAAUGUCUUUCCUUCAUCUGGACUUUCAGAAUAUUGCUGUGGACGAGAAUUUUAAAUGUUAAGGGACAUGCAGCCCUUAUUUGAUCUAAGACUGGUUUUGAAAAGUAAAACUGUUAGAGUUCCUUUCACACAUUGAAAUGUCUUACCACAUGAGACGUACCUGAGUACCAAAGGAUCUGAGAAAAGAAGGUGAACAUAAUUUCAAACGUAAAGGAUCAGUGAGGAUGUUCACCUCUCGGGAUUCAGUGUGUUGGUCUCCCAAUUUACCUGGAGGAUUAUCUACCAGCUUAGCUGCCUCUGAGAAAUUUUCUGAGGAAAGAAAACUAACCCCUUAGCCUAUUUCAGAAAUUCAUGGAAAGGGGGUUCAUUAAUGCUCCAAUAUAUUUCUGGUGUGUUAGAAAUAACCCAAGAUUCUACAUGCUGUGCACAUGAUGUUUUGCAAGAACACAGAAGACUUUCUUUCUGCCUCAAAAGGCUAAGAUAUAGGUGAUUUGAAAAAGGACAUUGGAGGGCUUUACCUAAGGCAGGCAGCCCAUCUGACAUAGAAGCUAUUCCAUUCACAGCACUACGUAUAACAGCAGAAAAACGGAAUCCAAUGUGAAAUUAUGGUAGUAAGGAAAGAAUAAUAAUUACAAUUUCUGAAAAAAAAAAAUGCUCACUAAGAAGUGAAGCUUGGUAAGCCCUUUCUUGGAAACUCUGGAUAAUUCUACUAAACUUCCACAUUUAAAUGGUAUUAAUGAUAUGAAUACUUAACUAAAUACUCUGGCAGUUUUCAUUAAAGCUUUUGAAGAGGAUCAAAGUCACCAGCGUGUGAAUAUGGGCAGAUUCUGAUUUUAAAAAAAAAAAAUUUUUUAAACAGUAA